Molecule: ribosomal RNA, 506 nt
Filed under: uncultured bacterium
Lineage: Bacteria
Description: partial 16S ribosomal RNA
Rfam family: Bacterial small subunit ribosomal RNA
Source: RNAcentral
AUUGAACGCUGGCGGCAGGCCUAACACAUGCAAGUCGAACGGUAACAGGAAACAGCUUGCUGUUUCGCUGACGAGUGGCGGACGGGUGAGUAAUGUCUGGGAAACUGCCUGAUGGAGGGGGAUAACUACUGGAAACGGUAGCUAAUACCGCAUAACGUCGCAAGACCAAAGAGGGGGACCUUCGGGCCUCUUGCCAUCGGAUGUGCCCAGAUGGGAUUAGCUAGUAGGUGGGGUAACGGCUCACCUAGGCGACGAUCCCUAGCUGGUCUGAGGGCAUGAACAGCCACACUGGAACUGAGACACGGUCCAGACUCCUACGGGAGGCAGCAGUGGGGAAUAUUGCACAAUGGGCGCAAGCCUGAUGCAGCCAUGCCGCGUGUAUGAAGAAGGCCUUCGGGUUGUAAAGUACUUUCAGCGGGGAGGAAGGGAGUAAAGUCAAUACCUUUGCUCAUUGACGUUACCCGCAGAAGAAGCACCGGCUAACUCCGUGCCAGCCGCCGCCGUAA